RNAcentral lists this ribosomal RNA (253 nucleotides) under uncultured bacterium. RNAcentral's name for it is "partial 16S ribosomal RNA". It matches the Rfam family "Bacterial small subunit ribosomal RNA", at positions 524 to 776 of the family's 1533-position model. The record is from RNAcentral.
GACGAAGGAUGCAAGCGUUAUCCGGAUUCAUUGGGUUUAAAGGGUGCGUAGGCGGACCUGUAAGUCAGUGGUGAAAUCUCUUUGCGUAACAAAGAAACUGCCAUUGAUACUGCAAGUCUAGAGUAUAGAUGACGUUGGCGGAAUAUGACAUGUAGUGGUGAAAUACUUAGAUAUGUCAUAGAACACCGAUUGCGAAGGCAGCUAACGAAACUAUAACUGACGCUGAGGCGCGAAAGUGCGGGGAUCAAACAGG